Molecule: ribosomal RNA, 260 nt
Filed under: uncultured bacterium
Lineage: Bacteria
Description: partial 16S ribosomal RNA
Rfam family: Bacterial small subunit ribosomal RNA
Source: RNAcentral
CGUAGGGGCGAAGCGUUAUCCGGAUUUACUGGGUGUAAAGGGAGCGUAGACGGACGGGCAAGUCUGAUGUGAAAAGCCCCGGGGCCGUUAACCCCGGGACCGUGCAUUGGAAACUGUCCAUCUUGAGUGCCGGAGAGGUAAGCGGAAUUCCUAGUGUAGCGGUGAAAUGCGUAGAUAUUAGGAGGAACACCAGUGGCGAAGGCGGCUUACUGGACGGUAACUGACGUUGAGGCUCGAAAGCGUGGGGAGCAAACAGGAUU